This is a non-coding RNA of Coturnix japonica (Japanese quail), 733 nucleotides long. Lineage: Eukaryota; Metazoa; Chordata; Aves; Galliformes; Phasianidae. The record is from RefSeq and is a predicted model, not a curated record.
UGAGGAGGCUGAGGCUGACCCAAAGACUGAGAGAUGUGAGUUCAGUUCCCAGCUGAGUCACAGGAUUUCUAUGCAAUCCAGAGGAGUUGCUUACUCCCUGGACAUGCAGAUGCAAAUUCCUGCAGCUCUGUAAGAGGCUUCUCUGCUUCCGUGGACCGGUUAUACCAGAAGGAAAUAUGGCUCCAACCCUUCCUGCCCCUCAUUGCGACAUGGAUGGUAGCGCUUCCCUAGAUCUCAAGGAUCCUGUACUACUGAUAAAAUCACUGAUGUCUCUGGGAUAUAAACCUUGAUUCUGUUAAUCCAGCGUUGAUGCCUGUUUCAUUCUGACAAGGACAUUUUGUGAUUCUUUGAAACAAUGCAAUGCUUGAGAAUGAAAAGAAAAGAGAAUAUUUUGACUUAAGAAAAGCUACUAUGGAAUCAGGAACUGUUGGCUGAGCCACAGAUUUCACACUCGUAUUCUGAAGCAGGCCACAAAAACAACUCCUGUCCAUGGUAGAUGUCAGACCACUGACUAACACUUAACCAAUGAGUAAGUCUACUUAAUUGCCAUUAUUGUGUGAUCGGCUGAAAUGUGUACUUCUGACACAGUGUCAUUACCUUUUGAUUUAGGCGCAAUUUUUUACAACUCCAUUUCCAUUUCAAGCAAAUCUUGAAUCACCAUUAAUAAAUACAUCUAAGCAACAGGUUUUCUGUAUCUAUAGUUUCAGGGAGACUUCUUAUUCUAGAGAGCACA